RNAcentral lists this ribosomal RNA (301 nucleotides) under uncultured bacterium. RNAcentral's name for it is "partial 16S ribosomal RNA". It matches the Rfam family "Bacterial small subunit ribosomal RNA", at positions 509 to 807 of the family's 1533-position model. The record is from RNAcentral.
CAGUAGCCGCGGGAAUACGAAGGGUGCAAGCGUUACUCGGAAUUACUGGGCGUAAAGCGUGCGUAGGUGGUGGUUUAAGUCCGUUGUGAAAGCCCUGGGCUCAACCUGGGAAUUGCAGUGGAUACUGGGUCACUAGAGUGUGGUAGAGGAUAGUGGAAUUUCCGGUGUAGCAGUGAAAUGCGUAGAGAUCGGAAGGAACAUCUGUGGCGAAGGCGACUAUCUGGGCCAACUCUGACACUGAGGCACGAAAGCGUGGGGAGCAAACAGGAUUAGAUACCCCCGUAGUCCCUGUCUCUUAUAC